This 374-nucleotide RNase P RNA is filed under the name Candidatus Berkelbacteria bacterium. RNAcentral describes it as "RNase P RNA component class A". It matches the Rfam family "Bacterial RNase P class A". Rfam says of the family: Ribonuclease P (RNase P) is a ubiquitous endoribonuclease, found in archaea, bacteria and eukarya as well as chloroplasts and mitochondria. Its best characterised activity is the generation of mature 5'-ends of tRNAs by cleaving the 5'-leader elements of precursor-tRNAs. Cellular RNase Ps are ribonucleoproteins. The record is from RNAcentral. Lineage: Bacteria; Candidatus Berkelbacteria.
GCAACUCGUCAAGAUAGUUGCCCCGCGGAGUCCCGAUGAAAAUCGGUACGAAGUAGGGAGGAAAGUCCUGGCACCAGAAAGCAAUGAUCCGUGCGUAAGCACGGCCGGCGCGAGCCGAGACCACGUGCAACAGAAAGUAUACCGCUACCGCUGCCUAGCAGCGAAGUAAGGGUGAAACCGUGGGGUAAAAGCCCACGAUCGCGCAGAGUAAUCUAUGCGGAUUGUAAACGUAUGGUGGUGCAAGUUGGCAGGACUCAAAUCAUCAACUACUCUCUAAAGGAGUAAAACCCGCGCUUUCCGGCGAUGCCUCGAGUCCCAACGCUUAGAGAAAUAACUAUCCAAGACAGAACCAGGCUUACUGGCGGGUUGCAGCA